GACGAACGCUGGCGGCGUGCUUAACACAUGCAAGUCGAACGGAAAGGCCCUGCUUGCAGGGUGCUCGAGUGGCGAACGGGUGAGUAACACGUGGGUGAUCUGCCCCUUACUUUGGGAUAAGCCUGGGAAACUGGGUCUAAUACUGGAUAGGACCAUGCUGUAGGUGGUGUGGUGGAAAGAUUAGUUUCGGUAAGGGAUGAGCUCGCGGCCUAUCAGCUUGUUGGUGGGGUAAUGGCCUACCAAGGCGUCGACGGGUAGCCGGCCUGAGAGGGUGGACGGCAACAUUGGGACUGGGAUACGGCCCAGACUCCUACGGGAGGCAGCAGUGGGGAAUAUUGCACGAUGGGCGCAAGCCUGGUGCAGCGACGCCGCGUGGGGGAUGACGGCCGUCGGAUUGUAAACGCCUUUCAGCCAUGACGAAGCCCUUGUGGUGACGGUAGUGGUAGAAGAAGCACCGGCUAACUACGUG
Molecule: ribosomal RNA, 469 nt
Filed under: uncultured bacterium
Lineage: Bacteria
Description: partial 16S ribosomal RNA
Rfam family: Bacterial small subunit ribosomal RNA
Source: RNAcentral